RNAcentral lists this ribosomal RNA (484 nucleotides) under uncultured bacterium. Its description in RNAcentral is "partial 16S ribosomal RNA". It matches the Rfam family "Bacterial small subunit ribosomal RNA", at positions 30 to 507 of the family's 1533-position model. The record is from RNAcentral.
AUUGAACGCUGGUGGCAGGCCUAACACAUGCAAGUCGAGCGGAUGAAGGGAGCUUGCUCCUGGAUUCAGCGGCGGACGGGUGAGUAAUGCCUAGGAAUCUGCCUGGUAGUGGGGGAUAACGUCCGGAAACGGGCGCUAAUACCGCAUACGUCCUGAGGGAGAAAGUGGGGGAUCUUCGGACCUCACGCUAUCAGAUGAGCCUAGGUCGGAUUAGCUAGUUGGUGGGGUAAAGGCCUACCAAGGCGACGAUCCGUAACUGGUCUGAGAGGAUGAUCAGUCACACUGGAACUGAGACACGGUCCAGACUCCUACGGGAGGCAGCAGUGGGGAAUAUUGGACAAUGGGCGAAAGCCUGAUCCAGCCAUGCCGCGUGUGUGAAGAAGGUCUUCGGAUUGUAAAGCACUUUAAGUUGGGAGGAAGGGCAGUAAGUUAAUACGUUGCUGUUUUGACGUUACCAACAGAAUAAGCACCGGCUAACUUCGUG